Molecule: long non-coding RNA, 288 nt
Organism: Cannabis sativa
Lineage: Eukaryota; Viridiplantae; Streptophyta; Magnoliopsida; Rosales; Cannabaceae
Exons: 3
Source: RefSeq, a predicted model, not a curated record
UCUCUCUCUCUUUCGAUUCUCUUGGGCAGCAGCUGGGGGGAUUGUGAUUUGUGUUGAAUUGAGGAAUUCAAGUGGUAUUUAAAGCUUGUUCAAGGGCCCUGUUAUACGUCGAGCUGCACUUCCACUCAGGCUGACCGGCACACUUGAGCACGGAACGAGGUAAAGGAAAGGCAAAGCUGGAGGAACAGUGAGGCGGAACUCGACAUGAUUGUACAUAUCGCGGCAGUGCAACCCGGAGGGUUUCGGUCUUUUACUAUUUUGAAUUCGAAUUUGAAAAUGCAAGUCCGC